This 73-nucleotide small nucleolar RNA is filed under the name Sphenodon punctatus (tuatara). Lineage: Eukaryota; Metazoa; Chordata; Lepidosauria; Sphenodontia; Sphenodontidae. The record is from RNAcentral.
GGUGCAAAUGAUGAUUUUAUAGCGACCAAAGCCUGAAUGCUGGUGAUUGCAAUCUAUUAGUAGCUGAUGCACC